Long non-coding RNA from Ceratina calcarata, 427 nucleotides. RefSeq lists it as uncharacterized. The transcript is spliced from 3 exons. NCBI's taxonomy places the organism in Eukaryota, Metazoa, Arthropoda, Insecta, Hymenoptera, Apidae. The record is from RefSeq and is a predicted model, not a curated record.
CGCUAGUCGAUCGUCGGAAGGUACGACGCCAUCCUUCGGUCUUCUUGGAACCAAAAUGGAUUGCGAGAAAGAGCUGAGGAAUGGUGGCAGUGGUAGCGGUCUAUAACGUGUACAACAAGGUGUUACGAUUUGUAACGAUUGGAAAUGCAGAAAGAGACGUUUGACCGCUGGAAGUCUCGAUAUGCGAAAGACAGGCUAAACAAUAAUCGUGGUUAAGUUAUCAAUGGCAGAUAGCUGUUAGAAUCGCCAAGAGGAGAUUCAAUAGUGAGAGGUUAGAAUGGAGACUAUACAUUGUCGUGUAGCAUUGAACCCAGUCAGUCAGGCGUAAAUUGGAGGAAGGUCUCAACAAGAAAGUAUGAAUGAUCUCACGACCAUGUUAAAGUCGAGAAAUGCGGUUGACCAACUGUCAGGCGGGCGAUGACCAAAU